GGCCCCGCGGUGUGAUCAUGUCAGACUGCAAAUCUGAAGUUGGCAGCUGCCCGGGGCUU
This 59-nucleotide transfer RNA is filed under the name Hypsiglena torquata (night snake). RNAcentral's name for it is "tRNA-Cys". RNAcentral also lists the same sequence under 1 other name. Lineage: Eukaryota; Metazoa; Chordata; Lepidosauria; Squamata; Dipsadidae. The record is from RNAcentral.